RNAcentral lists this transfer RNA (86 nucleotides) under Atraphaxis billardierei. RNAcentral's name for it is "partial tRNA-Leu". The record is from RNAcentral. Lineage: Eukaryota; Viridiplantae; Streptophyta; Magnoliopsida; Caryophyllales; Polygonaceae.
UGGAAACCUACUAAGUGAGAACUUUCAAAGUAAGAGGAAAAUCCGUCGACUUUAAAAAUCGUGAGGGUUCAAGUCCCUCUAUCCCC